Molecule: transfer RNA, 72 nt
Filed under: Camelus bactrianus (Bactrian camel)
Lineage: Eukaryota; Metazoa; Chordata; Mammalia; Artiodactyla; Camelidae
Also listed under: 2 other names
Rfam family: tRNA
About the family: Transfer RNA (tRNA) molecules are approximately 80 nucleotides in length. Their secondary structure includes four short double-helical elements and three loops (D, anti-codon, and T loops). Further hydrogen bonds mediate the characteristic L-shaped molecular structure. tRNAs have two regions of fundamental functional importance: the anti-codon, which is responsible for specific mRNA codon recognition, and the 3' end, to which the tRNAs corresponding amino acid is attached (by aminoacyl-tRNA synthetases). tRNAs cope with the degeneracy of the genetic code in two manners: having more than one tRNA (with a specific anti-codon) for a particular amino acid; and 'wobble' base-pairing, i.e. permitting non-standard base-pairing at the 3rd anti-codon position.
Source: Rfam by way of RNAcentral
GAGGGUAUAGCUCAGUGGCAGAGCACAUGCUUAGCAUGCAUGAGGUCUUGGGUUCAAUCCCCAGUACCUCCU